AAGACAUUAGUAAAGCACAAAUUACAUCACCUUGUCAAGGUGAAAUCGUAGGUUAGACUCCUGCAUGUCUUAAA
RNAcentral lists this transfer RNA (74 nucleotides) under Labeo catla (catla). RNAcentral's name for it is "tRNA-Asp". It matches the Rfam family "tRNA". From Rfam's summary of the family: Transfer RNA (tRNA) molecules are approximately 80 nucleotides in length. Their secondary structure includes four short double-helical elements and three loops (D, anti-codon, and T loops). Lineage: Eukaryota; Metazoa; Chordata; Actinopteri; Cypriniformes; Cyprinidae. The record is from RNAcentral.